GACGAACGCUGGCGGCGUGCUUAACACAUGCAAGUCGAACGGAAAGGCCCUGCUUGCAGGGUCCUCGAGUGGCGAACGGGUGAGUAACACGUGGGUGAUCUGCCCUGCACUUCGGGAUAAGCCUGGGAAGCUGGGUCUAAUACCGGAUAGGAGCCAUUUUUAGUGUGAUGGUUGGAAAGUUUUUUCGGUGUAGGAUGAGCUCGCGGCCUAUCAGCUUGUUGGUGGGGUAAUGGCCUACCAAGGCGGCGACGGGUAGCCGGCCUGAGAGGGUGGACGGCCACAUUGGGACUGAGAUACGGCCCAGACUCCUACGGGAGGCAGCAGGGGGGAAUAUUGCACAAUGGGCGCAAGCCUGAUGCAGCGACGCCGCGUGGGGGAUGACGGCCUUCGGGUUGUAAACUCCUUUCGCUAGGGACGAAGCUUUUUGUGACGGUACCUAGAUAAGAAGCACCGGCUAACUACGUG
This 465-nucleotide ribosomal RNA is filed under the name uncultured bacterium. RNAcentral describes it as "partial 16S ribosomal RNA". It matches the Rfam family "Bacterial small subunit ribosomal RNA", at positions 28 to 507 of the family's 1533-position model. The record is from RNAcentral.